CUAGCAUAUCAAUAAGCGGAGGAAAAGAAACCAACAGGGAUUGCCCUAGUAACGGCGAGUGAAGCGGCAACAGCUCAAAUUUGAAAUCUGGCGUCUUUGGCGUCCGAGUUGUAAUUUGCAGAGGGCGCUUUGGCAUUGGCAGCGGUCCAAGUUCCUUGGAACAGGACGUCACAGAGGGUGAGAAUCCCGUACGUGGUCGCUAGCCUCUACCGUGUAAAGCCCCUUCGACGAGUCGAGUUGUUUGGGAAUGCAGCUCUAAAUGGGAGGUAAAUUUCUUCUAAAGCUAAAUACUGGCCAGAGACCGAUAGCGCACAAGUAGAGUGAUCGAAAGAUGAAAAGCACUUUGGAAAGAGAGUUAAAAAGCACGUGAAAUUGUUGAAAGGGAAGCGCUUGCAGCCAGACUUGCCUGUAGUUGCUCAUCUAGGUUUCUACCUAGUGCACUCUUCUAUAGGCAGGCCAGCAUCAGUUUGGGCGGUUGGAUAAAGGUCUCUGUCAUGUACCUCUCUUCGGGGAGAACUUAUAGGGGAGACGACAUGCAACCAGCCUGGACUGAGGUCCGCGCAUCUGCUAGGAUGCUGGCGUAAUGGCUGUAAGCGGCCCGUCUUGAAACACGGACCAAGGAGUCUAACAUCUAUGCGAGUGUUUGGGUGUCAAGCCCGAGCGCGUAAUGAAAGUGAACGGAGGUGGGAACCUUUCGGGGUGCACCAUCGACCGAUCCUGAUGUCUUCGGAUGGAUUUGAGUAAGAGCAUAGCUGUUGGGACCCGAAAGAUGGUGAACUAUGCUUGAAUAGGGUGAAGCCAGAGGAAACUCUGGUGGAGGCUCGCAGCGGUUCUGACGUGCAAAUCGAUCGUCAAAUUUGGGCAUAGGGGCGAAAGACUAAUUCGA
Molecule: ribosomal RNA, 886 nt
Filed under: Didymella macrostoma
Lineage: Eukaryota; Fungi; Ascomycota; Dothideomycetes; Pleosporales; Didymellaceae
Description: partial large subunit ribosomal RNA
Rfam family: Eukaryotic large subunit ribosomal RNA
Source: RNAcentral